GAUGAACGCUGGCGGCGUGCCUAAUACAUGCAAGUCGAACGCGCAGCGAGAGGUGCUUGCACCUUUCAAGCGAGUGGCGAACGGGUGAGUAACACGUGGAUAACCUGCCUCAAGGCUGGGGAUAACAUUUGGAAACAGAUGCUAAUACCGAAUAAAACUUAGUAUCGCAUGAUAUCAAGUUAAAAGGCGCUAAGGCGUCACCUAGAGAUGGAUCCGCGGUGCAUUAGUUAGUUGGUGGGGUAAAGGCUUACCAAGACGAUGAUGCAUAGCCGGGUUCGGAGACUGAUCGGCCACAUGGGGACUGAGACAAGGACCAAACUCCGACGGGAGGCUGCAGUAGGGAAUCUUCCACUAUGGACGCAAGCCUGAUGGAGCAACGCCGCGUGUGUGAUGAAGGCUUUCGGGUCGUAAAGCACUGUUGUAUGGGAAGAAAUGCUAAAAUAGGGAAUGAUUUUAGUUUGACGGUACCAUACCAGAAAGGGACGGCUAAAUACGUGCCAGCCGCCGCGGUAA
This 513-nucleotide ribosomal RNA is filed under the name uncultured bacterium. RNAcentral describes it as "partial 16S ribosomal RNA". It matches the Rfam family "Bacterial small subunit ribosomal RNA", at positions 28 to 523 of the family's 1533-position model. The record is from RNAcentral.